Molecule: ribosomal RNA, 699 nt
Filed under: uncultured bacterium
Lineage: Bacteria
Description: bacterial SSU rRNA
Rfam family: Bacterial small subunit ribosomal RNA
Source: RNAcentral
UAGAGUUUGAUCCUGGCUCAGGAUGAACGCUAGCGGCAGGCCUAACACAUGCAAGUCGAGGGGUAACAGAGAAGCUUGCUUCUGCUGACGACCGGCGCACGGGUGCGUAACGCGUAUGCAACCUACCUCAUACUGGAGAAUAGCCCUUGGAAACGAGGAUUAAUACUCCAUAGUAUCAUUCUUUCGCAUGUUAGAAUGAUUAAAGAAUUUCGGUAUGAGAUGGGCAUGCGUCCCAUUAGCUAGUUGGUGAGGUAACGGCUCACCAAGGCGACGAUGGGUAGGGGGCCUGAGAGGGUGGUCCCCCACACUGGUACUGAGACACGGACCAGACUCCUACGGGAGGCAGCAGUGAGGAAUAUUGGUCAAUGGAGGCAACUCUGAACCAGCCAUGCCGCGUGAAGGAUGACGGCCCUAUGGGUUGUAAACUUCUUUUAUAUGGGAAGAAACUUAUCUACGUGUAGAUAACUGACGGUACCAUACGAAUAAGGAUCGGCUAACUCCGUGCCAGCAGCCGCGGUAAUACGGAGGAUCCAAGCGUUAUCCGGAUUCAUUGGGUUUAAAGGGUCCGUAGGCGGAUUUUUAAGUCAGUGGUGAAAGCCGGCAGCUCAACUGUCGAACUGCCAUUGAUACUGGAAAUCUUGAGUACAAAUGAAGUAGGCGGAAUGAGUCAUGUAGCGGUGAAAUGCAUAGAUAUGACUC